UCUUUUAUCCGCAACGGCGGAUGCAGAAAGAUCAUGUAUACGGGUCAAAAACGGAAAUAAGGGGGCGAACUCGAAAGGGUCGAAGAGGAGAAAGAUCGCACACGAGAGAGAUCGAAUGUGAGAAGGAGCCAGAAAGAAAUAACGGAGAAAAUCGGUCGUCCCCGCCAACUUUCCGAGAAGACAUCCGACAUCCCGACGGUGUAUCGAAGUGCUGCGAGAAGAACAGCACCAUCGAGGAGAAGUGAACUUUUUCCAUCAGGAGUGGUACUAUUUCAGUAUUUGUGAUCAGGACUAAAGACUGUGA
This 304-nucleotide long non-coding RNA is filed under the name Androctonus crassicauda. The record is from RNAcentral. Lineage: Eukaryota; Metazoa; Arthropoda; Arachnida; Scorpiones; Buthidae.